RNAcentral lists this ribosomal RNA (257 nucleotides) under uncultured bacterium. RNAcentral's name for it is "partial 16S ribosomal RNA". It matches the Rfam family "Bacterial small subunit ribosomal RNA", at positions 524 to 776 of the family's 1533-position model. The record is from RNAcentral.
UACGGAGGGGGCUAGCGUUGUUCGGAAUUACUGGGCGUAAAGCGCACGUAGGCGGCUUUGUAAGUUAGAGGUGAAAGCCCAGGGCUUAACCCUGGAAAUUGCCUUUAAGACUGCAUCGCUAGAAUCGGUGGAGAGGUGAGUGGAAUUCCGAGUGUAGAGGUGAAAUUCGUAGAUAUUCGGAAGAACACCAGUGGCGAAGGCGGACUCACUGGACACGUAUUGACGCUGAGGUGCGAAAAGCGUGGGGAGCAAACAGG